RNAcentral lists this ribosomal RNA (497 nucleotides) under uncultured bacterium. Its description in RNAcentral is "partial 16S ribosomal RNA". It matches the Rfam family "Bacterial small subunit ribosomal RNA", at positions 28 to 507 of the family's 1533-position model. The record is from RNAcentral.
GAUGAACGCUGGCGGCGUGCCUAAUACAUGCAAGUCGAGCGAACAGACGAGGAGCUUGCUCCUCUGACGUUAGCGGCGGACGGGUGAGUAACACGUGGAUAACCUACCUAUAAGACUGGGAUAACUUCGGGAAACCGGAGCUAAUACCGGAUAACAUGUUGAACCGCAUGGUUCAACAGUGAAAGACGGUCUUGCUGUCACUCAUAGAUGGAUCCGCGCCGCAUUAGCUAGUUGGUAAGGUAACGGCUUACCAAGGCAACGAUGCGUAGCCGACCUGAGAGGGUGAUCGGCCACACUGGAACUGAGACACGGUCCAGACUCCUACGGGAGGCAGCAGUAGGGAAUCUUCCGCAAUGGGCGAAAGCCUGACGGAGCAACGCCGCGUGAGUGAAGAAGGUCUUCGGAUCGUAAAACUCUGUUAUUAGGGAAGAACAAAUGUGUAAGUAACUAUGCACGUCUUGACGGUACCUAAUCAGAAAGCCACGGCUAACUACGUG